AAGUCGUAACAAGGUUUCCGUAGGUGAACCUGCGGAAGGAUCAUUAACGAAUAACUAUGGUGUUGGUUGUAGCUGGCUCCUCGGAGCAUUGUGCACGCCCGCCAUUUUUAUCUUUCCACCUGUGCACCGACUGUAGGUCUGGAUACCUCUCGCCUCCCUUCUCUUAGGGUUAAAGCGGAUGCGGGGAUUGCUCGCAAGGGCUCUCCUCGAACUUCCAGGCUCUACGUCUUUUUACACACCCCAAUAGUAUGAUCUAGAAUGAUAGUCAAUGGGCUUUCAUAGCCUAUAAAACACUAUACAACUUUCAGCAACGGAUCUCUUGGCUCUC
Molecule: unclassified non-coding RNA, 328 nt
Filed under: Coprinellus sp.
Lineage: Eukaryota; Fungi; Basidiomycota; Agaricomycetes; Agaricales; Psathyrellaceae
Description: partial internal transcribed spacer region
Rfam family: Eukaryotic small subunit ribosomal RNA (bases 1-46)
Source: RNAcentral